Molecule: ribosomal RNA, 253 nt
Filed under: uncultured bacterium
Lineage: Bacteria
Description: partial 16S ribosomal RNA
Rfam family: Bacterial small subunit ribosomal RNA
Source: RNAcentral
UACGAAGGGGGCUAGCGUUGCUCGGAAUCACUGGGCGUAAAGGGUGCGUAGGCGGGUUUUUAAGUCAGGGGUGAAAUCCUGGAGCUCAACUCCAGAACUGCCUUUGAUACUGAAGAUCUUGAGUCCGGGAGAGGUGAGCGGAACUGCGAGUGUAGAGGUGAAAUUCGUAGAUAUUCGCAAGAACACCAGUGGCGAAGGCGGCUCACUGGCCCGGUACUGACGCUGAGGCACGAAAGCGUGGGGAGCAAACAGG